Non-coding RNA from Pelobates cultripes (western spadefoot toad), 230 nucleotides. The record is from the annotation of a GenBank genome assembly. NCBI's taxonomy places the organism in Eukaryota, Metazoa, Chordata, Amphibia, Anura, Pelobatidae.
CUUUUAUAAAUCAACAUUUUUAUGCCCCCUGGCUGUCAAUCUGACAACUGUUCCUGUUACUUCCUAGUUGAUUAGCUCAGUUGAAUUCAAGAGACAUGCAAUUGGAAAAAAUACUUCUCACUGAGCUGCACUGCUGAGCUGAAAAUGCUGUUUUCAGUUUAACACAUUUAUUUCAGUGAACACUGUAGACCCCUAAUGUAUCUGCUGUAGUGCUCUAUUGCUAGAAAGUG